CACAGUGUGGAUGGGGGCUUCAAAAAAAACUUUCAGUCCACAGCAAUAGGUGAAGCCAGUUUCACUGGAAGCAUCGGCUCUUCACCUAGGAUGGCCCUUCGUGAAAACAACUUCCCACCAGCACCCUAAAAGUCUUCUGGGGCCAAUCUGUGCAUCCCAGAUGCUCAUUGGAAUAACACUUCUGACUAAGAACCAACCAAGGCGACGUAGACAGAUUCUUACAUUUAGGGAUUGGAAGCUGUCUGGGUACCAAGAGGUGUGCACACUGUCACUUCUAUGUUUCAGUCCAAGAGGAAUUAACCUAAUGCAAUCAUAAGGAAGUGUCAGAAAAAUCUGUCAACACCAGCUGACAAAGUAACUUGCCUAAAAGUUUUAAGAGUAUCAAGGUCAAAGAAAGACUGAAGAUCAAAGGCAACUAAAGAGACAGAACAACUAAAUGUACUGUGCAAUCUGGUGCUGAUUCUUUUUCUAUAAAAGAUAUUAAUUGAACCCUUCAUGAAACUUGAAUG
Molecule: long non-coding RNA, 509 nt
Organism: Talpa occidentalis (Iberian mole)
Lineage: Eukaryota; Metazoa; Chordata; Mammalia; Eulipotyphla; Talpidae
Exons: 3
Source: RefSeq, a predicted model, not a curated record